RNAcentral lists this microRNA precursor (209 nucleotides) under Oryza glumipatula. RNAcentral describes it as "MIR812 microRNA precursor family". It matches the Rfam family "MIR812 microRNA precursor family". The record is from Rfam by way of RNAcentral. Lineage: Eukaryota; Viridiplantae; Streptophyta; Magnoliopsida; Poales; Poaceae.
AAUAAGUGUAGUUUUGCACUAUUCAUGUUCAACGUUUGACCGUUCGUCUUAUUUGAAAAUUUUUUAUGAUUAGUAUUUUUAUUGCUAUUAGAUGAUAAAACAUGAAUAGUACUUUAUGUGUGACUAAAUGUUUUUAAUUUUUUCACAAAUUUUUCAAAUAAGACGGAUGGUCAAACGUUGAACGUGAAUAGUGCAAAACUGCACUUAUU